AGCGACGCCGCGUGAAGGAUGAAGGUUUUCGGAUCGUAAACUUCUAUCMGCAGGGAAGAAACCAAUGACGGUACCUGACUAAGAAGCCCCSGCUAACUACGUGCCAGCAGCCGCGGUAAUACGUAGGGGGCAAGCGUUAUCCGGAUUCACUGGGUGUAAAGGGUGCGUAGGUGGCCUGUUAGGUGGGGUGUGAAAUCCCUCGGCUCAACCGAGGAAUGGCGCUCCAAACCGGCAGGCUUGAGAGAGUCAGAGGUGAGCGGAACUCACGGUGGAGCGGUGAAAUGCGUUGAUAUCGUGAGGAACACCGGUGGCGAAGGCGGCUCACUGGGGCUCUUCUGACGCUGAGGGACGAAAGCUAGGGGAGCGGACGGGAUUAGAUACCCCGGUAGUCCUAGCCCUAAACSAUGAGCACUAGGCCGAGGAGGCCUCCACACCUUCCCGGCCGUAGCGAAAGCGUUAAGUGCUCCGCCUGGGGAGUAUGGUCGCAAGGCUGAAACUCAAAGGAAUUGAUGGGGGCCCGCACAAGCGGUGGAGCAUGUGGUUUAAUUCGACGCAACGCGAAGAACCUUACCGGGGUUUGAACUGCAGUGGACAGCGGCAGAGAUGUCGUGUUCUCUUCGGAGACUGCUGCAGAGGUGCUGCAUGGCUGUCGUCAGCUCGUGUCRUGAGAUGUURGGUUAAGWCCCGCAACGAAGCGCAWCCCUUGUCUGUAGUUGCCAU
Molecule: ribosomal RNA, 720 nt
Filed under: uncultured bacterium
Lineage: Bacteria
Description: bacterial SSU rRNA
Rfam family: Bacterial small subunit ribosomal RNA
Source: RNAcentral